RNAcentral lists this long non-coding RNA (1321 nucleotides) under Homo sapiens (human). RNAcentral's name for it is "long non-coding RNA NONHSAT169203.1". Lineage: Eukaryota; Metazoa; Chordata; Mammalia; Primates; Hominidae. The record is from RNAcentral.
GAUGAUUUCUUUGAGCACGAACGAACAUUUCUUUUGGAGUAUCAUAACCGAGUUAAGGAUGCAUCUGCUAAAUCUGAUAGAAUGACAAGAUCCCACAAAAGUGCUGCAGAUGAUUACAAUAGAAUUGGUUCUUCAUUAUAUGCUUUAGGAACUCAGGAUUCUACAGAUAUAUGCAAGUUUUUUCUCAAAGUUUCAGAACUGUUCGAUAAAACAAGAAAAAUAGAAGCACGAGUGUCUGCUGAUGAAGACCUCAAACUUUCUGAUCUUUUAAAAUAUUACUUAAGAGAAUCUCAAGCUGCUAAGGAUCUCCUGUAUCGAAGGUCUAGGUCACUAGUGGAUUAUGAAAAUGCUAAUAAAGCACUGGAUAAAGCAAGAGCAAAAAAUAAAGAUGUUCUACAGGCCGAAACUUCCCAACAAUUAUGUUGUCAGAAAUUUGAAAAAAUAUCUGAGUCUGCAAAACAAGAACUUAUAGAUUUUAAGACAAGAAGAGUUGCUGCAUUCAGAAAAAAUUUAGUGGAACUGGCAGAGUUAGAACUGAAGCAUGCAAAGGGUAAUCUACAGUUGCUGCAGAACUGCCUGGCAGUGUUAAAUGGAGACACAUAAGCCACACUCCGCCUUCCUGUUAAAAAGGGCUGCCUUCCUUCAAAUUUUAUUUUUGUUUUCUUAAUGAUGUUAAGCAUUUAUGCUCACUGGAAACAAACAAAAAGCAGCUGAAAAAGUGCAUCAACUCCUCUUUUUCUGAGAAACAUGGAGCAGCGCACGCCCAGGCGAUGCCAGUCUGUGUGCCGUGAUGCCGCACUGUGUUCCCCAUGACAGUGGUCCAUCAUCGUGCACUCGUCAUACUCAGAAGUCCAAAGUUCAUUCUUCUUUAAAGUAGCCUCUAUAACUCUGUUUAUUUUAUAAAUAGUAUUCCUUAUGGCUGCCACUCUUAUUUACCUUUAAAUAAUUUCUGAAAUUUAACCUUUUCAGAAUGCAUUGUUGAAACAAGAUAAAGAUUGCCUUUUUUGAAUUUUUUAAAUUUUGUUUUUAAAAGCAUAUACCACCUUAGUUCAUUCAUGUAUCCUGGUAAAGCAUCUUAAUCAGACUUAUUUUUAAUUACUGAAUAUUUCUUAGACGUUUUGGGACAGAUUUUAUGUAAUCUUUAUAAGUAUGAUUUCUGAAGAAAAGCAAAUGCAUUAGUAUGUUUGCCUUAAACUUGUAGACUAAACCAAGUAUUGUAAAAUAAACAGCGAUAACAGUGAUAGUUUUUAACUCUAUGGUCAUUGUAUCACUCUGGAAAAUGUGGAGUAGCUGUAAUAAAUCUACUCCUGUAUUAUGCUUU